This 298-nucleotide small nuclear RNA is filed under the name Vulpes vulpes (red fox). RNAcentral's name for it is "7SK RNA (ENSVVUG00000024191.1)". It matches the Rfam family "7SK RNA". Rfam says of the family: 7SK was discovered as an abundant small nuclear RNA in the mid-70s but a possible function has only recently been suggested. The record is from RNAcentral. Lineage: Eukaryota; Metazoa; Chordata; Mammalia; Carnivora; Canidae.
GGAUGUGAGGGGGAUCUGGCUGUGACAUCUGUCACCCCACUGAUCGCCAGGGUUGAUUCAGCUGAUCUGGCUGGCUAGGCGGGUGUCCCCUUCCUCCCUCACCGUUUCAUGUGCGUCCCAAAGCUGCGCACUCAAAGAGGAUGACCACCCCGUUGGAGGAGGACCAUUCUUCAGUCAAGGGUAUAUGAGUAGCUGCGCUCCCCUGCUAGAACUUCCAAACAAGUACUCAAGGUCCAAACUCUGGAUUUAAUGGACUAAAGUCUUCCAGCAUGAUUUGAAAAGCUCUAUAUUUCAUUAG